GCCAAGGCCUGGACCAAGCUGAACCUCCUUUCUGACCACAGCCCUUCGGCUCCAAUGUUGGAUUCCAGCACAGGCCAGCGGAAAGGGCAAGAGGGCUAAAAAAGGCCAGCUUCCUGUGGUUCACUACCCUCGAGUAAAUAGCAAUCAUCUGCUGCUAGAAGUGAGAGCAAGGCUCAUUGCAAAGAGGUAUGGCAAAAGAAUUCCUGAAAAGUAACCUCUAGCCCCAAGUGUCCAACUGCACUUGUGCCACUGGGGCUGUUCAGCACUGCAGCUGUAGAUGAAGGCAUCACCCUCCCUUCAAACUCUCAGCACACUGGAUUUCAGAAAUCAAGGGAAAGAAAAAAACAAGCCAGCUGUAUACCAUUGUACUUCAGCCUUCAAAGAAAGGAAAAGAAGUUCUGGGUUCACAACCAACAUUCACCACAGGUAAUAAAUACUGAAUUAGAUGCCUCAGACCUCCAGCUCUGAUCUGUUCACAAAAAGCCAUUUGCUUUUCAGUGACAAGACAAAAGCACUCCUAAAACCUUAAUGGAGGCCAUCAAAUCAAAAUGGAAAAAUUCAUCAGAAACACAAAUACCUUCACAGGAAAUAUGAUGGUAAGUGGAAAACCAUUGAGUAACUCCUGGAGUUACUGCAAUCCUGACCUGCUGCAGUUCGAGAUUGCUUCUGUUCAUACAACUGAGGCCACGGCCAAAUGAUUCUUUCCAUUCUGAAGGACUCCAAAAACUUCAUCACCAGGGACCUGUUGGGCACCAGGAGUGUUUGCUCUUAACCAGUGUGAGAUAGUUUCUAACAUGCCUGGGGUGUAGCUGAAAAGGAAGGGCUGGCUUCAGGUCAGGGACAAUCUGGACAGGCAGAAAUGGUUAAGGGGAAGUAGUCCUACCUCAGUUCUCUCCAGGAAAGUUCUAUAAGGAACAGUUCCACAAGAAAUUUUUACAUAAAUAUUACGUCUCUUACCAAGAUUUGGGUCAUAACCCAAACCACAAGCCUCUACUUUGGAGAUAUUUUUGGCUCUCUACAAUUAUCUUCUUUACA
Long non-coding RNA from Catharus ustulatus (Swainson's thrush), 1035 nucleotides. RefSeq lists it as uncharacterized. NCBI's taxonomy places the organism in Eukaryota, Metazoa, Chordata, Aves, Passeriformes, Turdidae. The transcript is spliced from 4 exons. The record is from RefSeq and is a predicted model, not a curated record.